GACCGUUUAGCUCAGUGGUUAGAGCGUGUGCUUUACAUGCUAUUCUAGUAUCGCACAAGGUCGAAGGUUCGAUCCCUCCAACGGCCA
Non-coding RNA from Phialemonium atrogriseum, 87 nucleotides. The record is from the annotation of a RefSeq genome assembly. NCBI's taxonomy places the organism in Eukaryota, Fungi, Ascomycota, Sordariomycetes, Cephalothecales, Cephalothecaceae.